UUCUUCGUUCCCCCAAAUCACACACCAGUUGCCUCCCCAGAUCCUCGAUUGACGUCGUCUCCUCUCCGCCAGUCGCCGGACCACCUCCUCAGCAACGCCGAACCACUAGAUAUUUAUGUGCGGGUGGUGGUUGUGCCCAGAUCUUUAUUUGCGGCGCCCUUUUCAUACCAAUGCGUCUUCUCGCCUCGAUAGUUUACUGGAGGCAAAAGCCAAGCAAGGGGUUCAGAUUUAAUCCUGAUUUACAGAGAGCUUGCUCUUGCUCUGAAUAUUAAUAGUUUUUAUAGUAAGAAAAAGCUCGGCACUUCACGAGAACAUAAAAUUUCUACGUCAUCCGGAUCAUUUCUCUAGUAGUGUCUAUCUAUGGUAACUUGGUCUCAUCAUGAGAAACUGGUUAGCCCAGCAGGCGGCCUCGUGUUCCAUUUUCUUUUAAAAAAUCAAAAUAUGAACCUCUAGUUUUCGACAUGCUAAUGAGAGGGUUAGUUGAUGAGCAAGGGAGCUUGAAUGUAACAACAUGCACCCUACCAUGAAGUCGUGUGAUUGAGAAUGGUGGGAGACACAGGAACGAGGUAACCAAGUUGUUUCAUCAGAUGAAACGGAACAGGCUGGUCCUCGUGUCGCAUGUCGCUGCCAGGUCAACUUUAUUAGAUCCCUAACAUAUGUACAUUAAUAUUUGUAUACCAUUGAUAUGUUUUAAAAUUUAAUAAUUUGGUUAUAAUUCUUCAUAGGUUAUAAGGAGUGUGAGUCUGUGGUCAGUUGAAUUGUAUUAACUUAUGUCCACUAACAAUCAGAAUAUCACAGUCGAACUUACUUUUAUUAUGAUACUUCUCUUGCAAAAGCAAGUUAUGAGAUGAUUAGCUUUGGUCUGGUUCGUUUUUCAUUUGUGGCUCCUACAAUUUUAAUCAUUGUAUUGAAAAAACAUUAAACUUUCGUUGUUUCAAUUUCAGGUAUUUGUGGCCAGUGCGAACUGACCCAUUUUGGCCUAUUUUUUCUCGAAAUAUAUAUGUUGUGACCCGUAUCGUUUUUUGUGUUAGGUUUGGUUAUGUUUGAAUUAGUUGGAUUUUUAUCGUGUUGCAUUCGGUUAUGUUGGAUGAUUUGGAUCUUUAGUAUGACUUUUUAAUAUUUAUUGUUAUGUUUGAAUUAUUAUGUUAUAUGGUUUGUGUAUUUAUUUUUAGUUUCAAUUUUUUAUAUUUAUGAAAUUUGAAUAUAAUAUUU
RNAcentral lists this long non-coding RNA (1212 nucleotides) under Helianthus annuus (common sunflower). RNAcentral describes it as "hypothetical non coding rna". Lineage: Eukaryota; Viridiplantae; Streptophyta; Magnoliopsida; Asterales; Asteraceae. The record is from RNAcentral.